GGGAAAAAAUAUUCGGUUAAGGUGCUCAGCCCGAGGGCGCGAUUUAUCCCCAGCUCUGCGGAGCCGGUGCAGCCCCGACCCGGGGCCGGGGGGGCCCGCCGCCUCCGCAGGGCAGCCCGAAAAUCCUCCCCCCUCUCCCGCGCUGGGCCCUGUCCCCCCGCUCCGCUUUUCCACGUCUCCGCUCUCGACCCGCCACCGUCCCGGGCCCCGCGGCAGGUGCCCGGCGUCGGCGCCCCCGGGGGCAGCGCCCGUGACUUACUUGGAGCCGCGGGAGGCUCUGGCCCUUCAGCCGGGAGCGGCGGGCACGGCCGGCGCAGCGGUCCCUCCUGCUGCCGACGGGCACACGGGCUGCCUGCUGCUGCUGCUGCUGCUGCUGCGGCCGCCGCUGCUCUCCCCGCGCGCCCCCCGCUCUCCGGCUCGGGAUCUUUCCUCGCAAGACCUUUAUACGCGGGGCCGAGGGAACGCGACCGCCGCGCUGCCUCCGCAGAGCCCCGUGCGCCGAGUGCGGGAGCGGGCGGACGGCCGGCGCGCAGAGAGCGGAGCGCAGGGCAGCGCAGCGCAGCGCGGGGAGCGGAGCCGGCGGCGCGCGGCCCCUCACGCGAUCUGAUUGGGGCGCGCCGCGGACGCGGGUCACUCGCGGGGCAGCCUCGCCCCCGCCCGCGGGGGAGGAGAGCGGAGGGAGGGAGCGGAGGGGAAGGGGGCGCCGCCGCCGGGCGCGGCCCCUCGGGGGCUCCCCUGUGUCUCGGCGCCCGCCGGACGCGGGGCCUCGGCGGAGCCCGGCGGGGGACAGGGGGGUGGCGCGGCCCCCGCUGCGGCGGCGCGGGCCCGCGGCGGUGCCUAACGGACUUCCCAACGGGCGCAACGACCCCUCCUCCCGCCCGCCGCUUGCCCGGGCGCGGGAAGCGGGGGCUGGGCUCGGCCCGCCGCGGGGACGCCCAACGGCUGCCGCCCGUCUCUGAGGGGGCUCCGGGGCGGCCGCCCCACGGCUGCCCCCAGGCACCGAGGGGACUCUGGGAUGGCCACCCCAUGGCUGCCCCCAGGCGCUGA
This is a long non-coding RNA of Apteryx haastii (Great spotted kiwi), 1047 nucleotides long. The record is from Ensembl. NCBI's taxonomy places the organism in Eukaryota, Metazoa, Chordata, Aves, Apterygiformes, Apterygidae.